This 253-nucleotide ribosomal RNA is filed under the name uncultured bacterium. RNAcentral's name for it is "partial 16S ribosomal RNA". It matches the Rfam family "Bacterial small subunit ribosomal RNA", at positions 524 to 776 of the family's 1533-position model. The record is from RNAcentral.
UACGUAGGGUGCAAGCGUUGUCCGGAAUUAUUGGGCGUAAAGGGCUCGUAGGCGGUCCAUCGCGUCGGGAGUGAAAAGCUGGGGCUUAACCCCAGUCCUGCUUCCGAUACGGGUGGACUAGAGGUAGGUAGGGGAGAACGGAAUUCCCGGUGUAGCGGUGAAAUGCGCAGAUAUCGGGAAGAACACCCGUGGCGAAGGCGGCUCUCUGGGACGGUACUGACGCUGAGACGCGAAAGCGUGGGGAGCGAACAGG